RNAcentral lists this long non-coding RNA (13313 nucleotides) under Lynx pardinus (Iberian lynx). The stretch from base 9116 to 9307 matches the Rfam family "Rhabdomyosarcoma 2 associated transcript conserved region 9". Lineage: Eukaryota; Metazoa; Chordata; Mammalia; Carnivora; Felidae. The record is from RNAcentral.
AGGAAAGAAUAUACUCUGGAGGUUCCUAUAAUUCAAAGAAAAUGGACUGGGAUAACAUUUGGGUUUGCAUGCCACCAAAAUCCUCUCGAGAAGGACAGCCAGGUACACAAAGCAUUUAACAUUGUGACAUUGAAGUGUUGGAAGAAUAAUUAAAAUAAAAAUCUAAUAAUGGUUUUUUUUAGAAAUUGCUAAACGACUAUGUUUGAUCCAGGGACGAGAAAGGGAAAAGCUGUUUUCAUUCUCUUGGCAUCUGAGGUGUAACUGCUUUACUGCUAUAAAUACCAUAUUUUAAUUGUGUGUCAUCACUUCUUAGCAUCAUUGCUGGAAAGUUCAUUCUAAUAUUAAUGCCUGAAGCUGAGUUUCUGCUUAAAGAAAGAAUCCGGUAAAAGAGGAAUUUCAUAUAAUUAGCUAGUUUGAUGUUUUCUUCCAGCUUUUUCUUUACAGCGUUUUGUUUUUGUAUUUUGUUGUACUUUGUUUUGAAAGUAGGUUGCAAUUUUGUAAAAAAAAAAACAAAACAAAAAGAAAACAAAAAAAACAUAGGAAAUUAGCCAAUUAACCUGUCUUAAAAAUAUUUUUUCAGGCAUCUUUGGAAGAUAAGCAAGGCCUAAAGAAAUGAUUUCUCAACAUGAGAUACUAAAACUUAGAUCACUUUGGAGGGUAGUUUACAUGUCUCCCUUGGUUAAGAAUUAGGCCCCUCUUGUCCACAAGCACUGUCAGAGGCACAAGGAAAANNNNNNNNNNNNNNNNNNNNNNNNNNNNNNNNNNNCCCCGUUUCCCCAACCUCUGCAUUGUGCUCUGUCCUGCUCAGCUCUUAAGAAAACCAAAGAAUCAAGCCCUGGGGGGGCUUCAUACUCCAGACUUAAGUUCAUUUUGUGCCCCAGCCCCCUUCACCUGCUCCUCUCUCCACCUCUCGGUUGCUGCGCCUAAUUUCAUUUCUAUUUUCUAAAUGCUUUCACUUGGAGGCCUCCACAAUGACUUCAUUCUGGCACCUCAGCUGCUGCUCUUUCGCCUCUCGGCUCAUGCGAAUACCUCUUGAGCUCCAAGACAGCUGUGUCAGGAGGAGAGUUUCCUUUGAGGGUGGGAAGAAAGGUCUCCUUCUGCAAGGGUGCCGGACAAGCAAACGUGGCUGUCCUCCAGACAGCGGGGUGCUCAGAGCGCCCCGACUAAAGACAGGUGUAGACAGGUACGUGGGCAGCGUGUGCUAGGACUGCAGCCAGCAUUUCACCAUGUACAGUCAUCACGUCUCCGUGAACAGGGAGAACCAGGCUGGGGAUACAUUUGGUGAACUGGUUAGAAAAAAAUGAUCGUCAGUUAAAGGUACAACAACAGUUGGUUGAAACCUGGCUAUGUUCGGUACAUUCUGAUGAGAUAAAAGACCUGCCGUAGUUGAUGUGCUAAUAAGCCUAUGCGACCCCUCAUUCUUUUCUUCUCGUGCCACUUAUUUGCCCAUGACUAUAACAAAAUAGCCACACAUCUCCCCUUCUAAGAUUGUGUGCAAAGAAGGAUUCGACCUCAGUGCAGCCCCAGCUAAGAAGAAACUUUCUCUUCUCGCUCUUCUCUGAGCAUAAUUCAAAGACAACUCAAAUAGAAAAGCAAUUUGUGUGCAAUUAGGCUCCAAAAUUUAUUAGGUGUAGGUGAACCAUGCAAUGCGAUUAAGGAGGCUGCUGUGAGUAUAUUAUUCCCUUCAUGUACUAAAUUCCAUAAGGACAGGAAAGAGAUCUAUCUAUCAACAACUGUUAGCCUGUAGCUCUGAAAGGUGGCUGCAUUUUGUGGACUGUCAGCAAAUACUUGGUGGGCAUGACUCAGUCUGUAUUAGCAAUGAAACUUGGUUCAACAACGCCCCAGAAAUGCUGUGUGACCUGCGAGGAGUCGCAUUCCUGGGUCCUGUAAUGCUCAUGGGGCAUGCUUCAAAGCACAAGGCUUCGAAUAAUAGGGACUAGCAUCACAUAAGCCUGGAGUUGAGUUCCACAUCAGUACCUUCUAGUUUUCUGACCCAGAUGAGUUUCUUGAUCUCCUUGAGCCUCAUGCUCCUCGUGGGUAAUAUGGAAGGGGAAAAAAAUUUAAGUUAGCUGUGCAGAUUGAGUGUGUGGUGCCCACACCUAGUAAAUGCUCAGCUAAUGGUCACUACUUCUAUUAUCAUUAUUAUUUUUACUAGUUAUACUACUUUUAGGAUUGUUCUUAUUAUUAAUGACAUUAAUGUCAUUAAUGGUCACUAAUGGUCAUUAAUGGUCACUACUUCUAUUAUUAUUAUUUUUACAAGUAAUACUACUUUUAGGAUUGUUCUUCUUAUUAUUAAUGACAUUAAUCUUUGGGUGAAAUGUCCAGAAUUUUUCCUCAUAGAGAACUUAGGUAGUGGGGAUCAGGAGAUACACACGUGAGGUAGUGUUUUUGCUAUGAAAUGAAGAGGUGGAAACCUCGAGUUUUAAGGGUGAUUCACCGGAAGCCUCUGUACCAUCACAAAGUGUCCGUAAACACUUUUUGUGGUUAAAUCUACCAUGUUGCAGAAGGUAAAAAUAAUUUUAAAUCCAAACAAACGGUACUGCUUGUAUCUAACCAAUGCCAGACAUUCAGGUAAUAUAGGAAAACAAGUCACCUGGAAGAUAGAUAUUUUUAUCCUCCCUGCCAAGAAUUCAAAUGUCCAGCUAAUAAAACUGGCCUUUUCACUUGUCUUUGGGGCACCUGGGAGUAUGAAAAGCCAUUUUGUGAGUGGCUUUUUCCGUUGCUGGUAGCAGUGGUCGUUGAUUACAGGAUACAAUUUGAAACUCCUGAAGGUUGUGAGGCAUGGCAUGGAUCAGGACGAAGGCUUUCUAUAAGAAAAGCCAUCUUGCUGGUUGAAAAGCCCUAGUGAGCUGCCAGGCCAUCUUUGUGGAGCCGGAACAUCGUAAGAAAGCCUGCGGUUGGGUCUGUAGGCCAUUAAAAAGUUUCAGCCUCACUACUAAACAAGAGAAAAGAGUCUUGCGUUUGCCUCAAAAACACACGCCCCUCACAGACAGAAAAGUCAGAUGUUAAUUAAGCCUUUGAAGGGUUAGAGUGGAUCAUGCCAUUCCAUAUCAAAAAGUCAGUUUUGACUUCUAAUUGCAUGCCAAACCAACCAACCAACCAACCAACCAACCAACCUGCAAAUGUAUUUGCUAACAAAGGUUCUUAUUGCACACAAGUCGCAUUUAAAGUAAAAAGACAAAUCUUUUUUUCUUUGUAUUUGGAAUGGUUCGAAGCCCAACAGAGCCUUCAUUGAGUCUAUAUUUGUAUGUUCCAUUUACUUUUUACCUUUCCUGUGGAUUUCCUUCUUCAUGAAACCAUCCCUCAAAGGAAAUGCUGACAAUAAAUUAAUGUCCAUAACUUAGUAUAUUUUAUGGUGUUUCAUUUUAAGUAUUCACACUUGGAUUCAAGUGCAGCAUCCUUUACCUUUGCUCAGCAUAUAGUAGAGGCUAAAUAAAUAGCAAUUAAAAGAGACAGGCUGUCUAAAGUUACAGCAAUAUUUCCCCAGAUUUUCUUUUCAUUCUGUCAUUCUUCUGUGAAGUUCGUGUAAUUUGUCCUCAAAUGGGCAAGAUUUGGGAUUGUUCGCAGUCACAAGUGAGAGAACAAAAUAAGAGAUUUUCAUUUGUAAGAUUGCCUUUCUCUUAUCUAUUGGUCUUGCCUCCCAGACUGUCUGUCUGUCUCUGGAAAGCAAAGUCAAUAAAAAUGAUUAGAGCUGGCAUCUCACAAAUGUACACCCUUAAACCAUGAAGCAGUAAUGCUGUGCAGGAAAUAUUUUUCUGACCUUUUCAAAUUGCAUCCAACUGUCUCGGGAAUUUCUCAGUGACUAGAGGUAAUAAGGUUCAAUCCGUUUUACUGGCUGGCUUCAAAUUUAGUUCCUCCACAUCUCUAACUUAUCUAUUCUUUGCAUCUUGGCUCUGGCAUCCAUUCAGCACAGAAAUCCAUGCAUCUAAUCUUUUCUCCCCCUUCUCAGGUUUUGCUAAAGGAUCACACUGUGGAAUCUACAACCGCGACAAACUUCUGCACUUACUGCCCCUUGAAAAACAAAAUAUUGGCAUGGGAAGGUUAGUGGGCAUGUUGUCUUUUCGGAAGCCCUUGUUGAAUGUAAUUAGCUUGUAGAUUUCAUCCCUGUCCUACACCACAGUUUUUACCUAUGUGAUUUAUGCCUCAGUAAUCUUCAUUGUGUGAAACUUUUCCAACUUAACUAUAUCACAGGCACCCUGUAGAAUAUUAAAGGGGCAAACCUAUGCGCAUUUCUUUUGUGUUAAAUUGAUUUUGAUUUUUUUUUUCUGCGAGUCCAUACGCAAUGGGCAUACUCUUCACCAGCAACCUGCACCCGCCCCCAGUAAGGACGGGAGUCAUCCAAGUGUGACGCGCUAAAAGGCAGCUGGGCCGCCCCAUUCGUCACCAUGUUCCCUGACGGAGAACAGAAAACAGAAGCUGGGGACACGUUUCUUGACCUCACAAAAGUGUUGGAUGUCAGGAAGCCUUGACAAAGAGUUCAGAAAUCUUGUCUUACUUUUCAUAUUUAGAGCAUCUCUGUGCUGUGAUUCUGGGGAGCUACCAGAGUUUCCUCGUUCCUCCAGAUUCAACACACACUGUUGUUCCCACCCAUCGCCUGCACCCUGCCUUCUGCAGCGGUGAUUAGAAUCUUGGUCCUGUGGUCAGUGGGGCUUGGAGCCUCUUUCUGGAGCCUCUCUCUGUUCAUGGGCAAAUAGCCACCAGGAGGAAGAAAUCUUUUUGAAGUUGCCCUUCUAAGAGUCUGUGUUUGCUUGUACACUAAUUGUCAGGUUUGAUCAUCAGAAGAUAAUUGGCUUUAUAGAAAUGAGAUCAUUUCAAACAACUCUAUUCAGAAAAAAAGUUUAAAACAAAAAGAAAAUAAGUUUAGAGGGAAGAGGAUGAAGAACAGGCUGGUUUCUUUCACUCACGUGCAGCAAUGUAUUUUUUUUCUUAAAGUGAGUAGACUUAUGCAAAAGCUCAUCUUCAUAAUAUAGCCAAUUUUUUUUUUCAUUUGACAAAACAAAAAUAAUGGAGUUGGGGACAGUUAAAAGAAAAGAUACAAAGUAUGUUUAAGAAUGGGUGUUUUUUGAAGUUGCUAUUUUGUCAUAUGAAACUCAAUCCAUCUUGCUACUAGAUGUUGACCUGGAAAGGGACAACAGUCCUCAUGUUAUCCCUUUACAGCCUGGGUGUGGGUAGCUGGUAUUUUGUUCAGUAAAGACGAGGUAUUCGGGCAGUUUUGCAAAGUCACACUUACCCACUGUUUGCCGUGCAGGGCAGUGUUUUUACCACCAGCCGGGGCAGAGUGAGGGCUUCCCGGGUGACAGUCGCUUGAAUGGAACUGUGUGGUGCUCCUGAUGGUGGUUCAUGUAGGUGCGCAUACGCCUGUGUGCACGCGUGCAAGCGUGUGUGAGGUGCGCAAGGUGUGCACACGAACUUGAGUGUGGCAUCGGAAGACACCAAGCAGCUCCAAAACCAAGUGGCCUCUCAGCUCUGCCUGGGGACCUCAGGGUUCUCAGUGGAUUGCAGACUUUGCUCUGCCCAGGAACCCUCCCAGAACAGAGGGGGCUCGGCCUGCGGGCUCAGAUUAUUGUACAGUUGGCACCUCCUGUUUCCCGUUUCUAAGAUCUUUCCUACUGGGGCGCCUGGGUGGCGCAGUCGGUUAAGGUCCGACUUCAGCCAGGUCACGAUCUCGCAGUCCGUGAGUUCGAGCCCCGCGUCAGGCUCUGGGCUGAUGGCUCAGAGCCUGGAGCCUGUUUCCGAUUCUGUGUCUCCCUCUCUCUCUGCCCCUCCCCUGUUCAUGCUCUGUCUCUCUCUGUCCCCCCAAAAAAAUAAAUUAAAACGUUGAAGAAAAAAAAAACAAAAUUUAAGAUCUUUCCUACCGUCGGGACCUGGAGGUAGAACAAAAUCGGUGUCCAGCCCUUCCACUGCAAGUGUAAAGUGACCUGAAUGUGGUGGGACAAAGGCAUGAGGCAGCGCGGGGCUCCAUUUGCCAUGGCUUGUUUUGUUUUGCUGGGUAGUCUUAGAUUUGGACCGCGAUUGGGGAACGAAGGGGGAAUUGCCAGGUGGAGAGGGUAAGGGGGAUGAGAGGCCUGAUUAGCAGUGCGGUGGAGACUAAUUACUAGUCCUUCCUUAUUGGGUAACUGCUAUUUCCUGGGUGUGGCCUGCAUCGCUCAAAACCACCCUUGCUCUUCCGAGGCCCCCCGGGAAGACGGGUUAACUACUCGGUUUAGCGGGGGUGGGGGUGGGGGCGCAAAGUGAGGCGUGAGACCGUUGAAACGGAGUUUGUUUCUGAGCAGCAGGGCCUUUAUGUGAAGAGAGUUGUUUUUACACGGAAAGGAAGGAAAUAACUCGUACCCAGUGGGCUUUGACCUUUCCUCUUCCUCUUUCCCCCUCCUCUGUCACCUCCUUCCUCCUCUCGCAGGGCUUCUCCUCCUUUUUGUUUUCUCAAAGAGAGAAUCAAAGGAGACCCAGCUGCUGAAACGCCAUCCCACUGUGCCUCCUGCGACAGCGCAUUCUUCUUUUGGUGCUUGCUGUUCAGCUACUUACUUGUUUUGAAAGUUUGAUAAAGGGCGCCGAGUUCUGCCUCUAGUGGCUUCUAUCAUUUUCACAUAAGGUAAUUUUUAUUACCUUAAAAUAGUACUACAGACGGCAGAAGAUGGCGAUUACAGGCUGUCCUCACAAGUUCACAUUCUGCCCCGCCUAAUCUGCCCUUCGUUCGUCCGAGUUAAUGAUUUAUCGGGGUGAAAGAAUGGAUUGAGGGAGGCAGAGACGCAAAGGUAUUUUUGUGAGUAGCCCAGCAAAACCUGUUUCUCCAAAUAUUAUGUUUCUAAAUCAGGAUUGAACUCCUUCAAUUAAGGUCUCUUUUCUUCUUCUAUUUGCCUCACAUAUCAAUAUUACAAAAAUAAACAUGUAUGAUUGCCGAAGCAGGCUUGUUAUUGUGGCCUUGGCUCGAUGGAGAUGUCGAUGCCCGAGGAUUCAAUUUCGCUCUUACAGUGAUAACUAAUACGCUCCAAUUUGUUUCUCAGGGAAGGAGCUUGGUUAUUUAUUCCAGGUAAACUGGGCUGCUUCUGUUGCCACAGCAUCGAGUCGUCCCUGAAACUGAGGCUGGCCACCUGAUGGGGCCUCCUUUGUUCCCAGGCAUAUCAGAAGACAGAAAGGACUCAAAUCUUCAGCAGAGUGGUAGAAUCUCAAAAGCUCAGUCACCACCGUUCACUGCAAAUAUAUCUCUUCCUAGAGUGGGUGUUCUGGAAAUUCAGACUGCAUCUCACUUGCAAUAAAUAGCCCCCUUUAAAAAUUUCAAACAGAACCCCACAGGAAAAGCAGCAUGGCUUCAGAUGGAAGGAUGAUUUCAAGCUCUCUCUCUCUCUUUCUCUGAGGCCUCUUGAAUAUGCAUGUGAUCCCAGCCCAGAGUUCUUCCAGGAAAAUCUUUAUGUUUGCACAGGUCUCCUUCGAUUCCCACUAUCAUCCUUAUUGGAAAUAAAUCUAAAUAAGUCAAAAUAAUCUAAACAAGGAUAAAUUGUUCCGAAACUAUCUGCCACACACAGUUCAUCUCCCACACUUUGCUUUCCAUUACUGCUGAAGGAAGGGAAAUGAUGGCAUCAGCUUUAAAUCUAUAGAUUUAGUAGCGGGCACCUGCCUGUGCCUCUGUGAUAUACUGGCGAUCUCCACUUAUUGUUGGGGUUGCAGCAGUAUUUAUGUUUCCUUAAUUGGAACCCCACGGAUACCCCAUGGGAUUUCCUCCCUUUGGCUAGACAGUAUAUCCAUAUAGACAUAGAGCAUAGCCACCGUGGUCUAUUGUAAUAUUAUAGUCAGAAAUAUGAACAUGGGGAUCAAAAUUAAACCAACACCUGGGCUAAUGGAGUUUCUAGACUGGCUUUUGAUAUUAUUAAGAAGACACCAUUUUUCUCACUGUUUAUCUUUGGAGUUAAAGCAAUGUCAGCAGAAAUUCAAAUUCAAUACGCUUUAUCACGAUGUUUCCUCUUCUGUUUAAUUCUUCAUCGGGUUGCUUCCAGGGGUGAGGGAUGACUGAUAAAAUUACCAAGUACCCCACGUAAUGGACAAGUAAACAAGAAACACGAGAGGUUUGGGCACACUAUGUGAAAAUGUUACCCUUUUAUUAUAUCUUCUUCCUUUUUAAGUGAAUGAAUAUGUUAAGAUCAGCUUUACACAAAUGCUUUGAAAGCUCAAUUUUCUUAAAAUUACGUUAAUUACAAUGAAAUUAACAAGUAAAUCCCCUUUAUGUUAACUUAGUGUCAAAACAGGAUUCAUCACCUUGGACAUCAGAGGGCCCCUUCAUUGUCUUUAUUUGUACUUCCAGCAUUUGCAUUUGCUUAUCCCUUGUGCUAUUUUUAUUUUUGUCAUUGGAGUUCAUGAAGACUUAAUCAUCAGCCCUCUAAUUUUCCAGAAAAAAAAAAAUGUUGAUUUAUUGAACUGACUGCCGAAAAAGAAGAGGAAGACGAAGAUGAAGAAGAUCAAUCUGACAUUGUAGGUUAAUAGUAGGGAACAAAACACAUUCAUAAUUAGAAGAGAAAAGGACUUUCCUUGUUCAUUCCAGUUUAUAAUAAAAAGCCCCUCGCCAAAGUGUCUUAGAAAAUAAUGCAUUCAGACUGAGUCGAAUUACCGCCUAGCAGAUUCUAUUUAUCUGUAGCUUAAAAAGCAGCUGCGUUUUUGUAAAAAGCAAUGAAUGUGGCAGUCCUACUUAAAGGUAGAAGAAAAAGAACACCCCUUGUUUUGUAAUAAGGGGAUUUUCAAUUUAAAAGAGAGAGCGAGCCUGUUGUGUGAAGUACGGUUAUUACAUUCACUGUAUUCUAUCUCACCCACCAGGAGGCUAAUAAUGAAGGGCCGGGGAAGGAGGCCAGUGCUAGGAGGGUUAUCUCACUGCCUCAGAUGCUGGAUAAGUCGAAGGAAGCAGAAUCGCUUUUGGAUGACAUUCAGAAAGGCCGGAGUGAUUAUUUGGGAGAGAAAAGCCUGCCUAUUCUUUUCCAAGGUAAACAGUUCAUUUCAUCUGUUGGCUGCAUGUUUCGAUGUAAAAAUAUGUUUAUGUAAAGAUAUCUAUAAAGUUUGCCUUUAAAAAAAAAAAUCAUUUUAGGUGCGUGACUGUUCCCCUGGCCUUCCCAUCCACUGAUGAAUUAUUAGCAACGUGCCUUAGACAAAGGACGCAUGGGAGCCCCACCACACCUAGAGCCACGCUUUGAAGGAUCUGCCAAGCUCACUUUUAAUCAUGAGAAAGAAAUUACCCACAUGGAGUCAGCAGAAAAUGAGAAAGUAGAGCUCGUGCUGCGAAUAAUUCCAGCAAGUGCCAAGGGGCUAGUUGAGGAAUGGCUUCAUGAAGUGAAUAUCUUUAGCUUGUACUUAGGGUUUGGUUAGCGUAUAAUCAUUUUCUCUUUUAGGAGCGUUGACUAUCCUCAGUGUCUUUCCUCACUAAAGAGUGCUCAGAGCAUUCGUCAGGAUGUUGACAGAUUUAAUAUCAGUCUCGUCCUUGUUGUUAUUUACUAUGACUAAUUUUACAUGUGCAAAUAUGCAAAAAUCAAUUUAGGCGGAGAGGCGCUCCGGAGCCAACGACUGUUAAUCGCUGUCUGUGUGUGUGUCUCGCUUGCGAGUGGAUGUCCAGUAAUUUCUGUCUCUGUGUGUGUACGUGCCCUUGUUCUUGUCUUCUCUCCGUUGUGCCAUAGGUUGGGAGGUUUGGCCAGCCAAUGCCUUCUCAGAUGUGGCCUGAGGCUUUCAUUUGAUUUUUGGACCAGGAAAAAAAGAAUGUGUCACAUCAUGAUUAAUGGUCAAUCUGAAUUUUCAAUUCAUAUGAAAGGAGAAGGGGGAGGAGGAUAUGAGCCCAGUGAUGAGACUAACCUUUUCCCUUUGGGAAGAGCAUGAUUCAAAUUAAACAUCACUUUCAGUGUGAAAUUAGUUUGAAGGCUUCUUUUUUUUUCUCCCCCCGUGCCUGGUUUAACUCCAUGGUGGCUGCUCCUGCAGAGAGGACCCUUCCAUCCGGCCUCUGUGCCCGAAUCUGUUCCCAGUAGGCCAUAGUUCCUCUUCUUUUGUUUUAUUUUUCUAAAGACCAGGUCCAAGAAACCAAAAAAAAAAAAAAAGAAUAUUUUACUAUAAAAGCAUCAUUAUUCACAAGAUAAGAUUUUCCCCAAAACAUGUUAUUUCUUUGUGUCCCACUUAUGUUUCCAAAAAAGAAAAAUAAAUAAACAAAUAAGUAAAUAUGUAAAUAAUGUUCUUCUUUUGAGGAUAAUUUUGCCAGGGAGGAGGAAAAGGGAAAGCGAGGGAUCCUUUCCAAAGACCUUUGAGUGCCCUCUGCUUUAUGCCAGUUUCUGCUAGCCGAGUGAGCCACAUUGGAGAACAGCAACCCCAAACCCCAAGCUUUCCCUCAGUUCUCUAGUUCCCCACGUAACCGAGUCACAGGAUCGCCAUGUCAACCUGCAGCAGCUCUGGCUUCAAGCAAGCAUAUGCCGGGACAGUCUGAAACUACCCUUCAGUACCUACCAGAGACUCAGGCCCAAGCUUGUAGAAAGAACCCACUGUCCAUGGAAACGCUGGGCCGCUUGCCCAUCUGUGCACAUUCUGGAUGCCACAGUUAGGCGUCAUCAGGAUUUGAUGUUCCAUUGAUGCUCUUUCUGGAAUUUGGUGGCUUGUAGAGAAAGGACAAGUAUAGAAAAGGCCAAGAGACAGGCUCGUUCUUCCAUGUCUUUUCAAAAAGAAGAUGCUAGGGCUUUGUAAUCCCUUUCCUACAGGAAGAGAGGUGUGGUGGGGGAGGGGAAGCAGCUGGGUGGGUGAGGUAGGGGAGGGGAGGCAGCUGGGGGCAGAGGUAGAGGUGGAGUGGGGGAGGUGGAAGGUGGAGGCAGAUGAGCAGCUGUGUUUAUUUUAAUACAUAUCAUUUAACCCUCACCUAAAAACAAAUUGGAGAGGUUUGGGAGUGCAUUAAUCUGGACCCAAUUAGCAUGUCUUUCUCCUUCAAAAGUGCAACCUGAGAUUAAUGAAUAUAAAGUAGAGUUUCAGAUGCAGUGCUUAAAUCAUUUGCAUGUUUCAUGCAUGAUAAUUGAAUUUAUGUAUGCACUUCCUAUCAUUUAACUAUUUCCAGUCUCCUCCCUGUGAUUCACACAAACCAAGAUUUCGUUACAGUAACCUCCAAGUGGAAAUAACUUGCCUAGACCUUACUCCUAAUGAGGAACUCAAGUUCUUGUUUCUUUUAUUUGAAUUUGAAUCAUACGAUAUUUUUUUAAAAAGCAGAGGGAAGUUCUUAUUAGUCUGGGACACUCUUUUAGGAGGUGGUAAAUAGGCAUUCUGAGUUUAUUUUUGGAAGGCCGGAAAAUCCAUGCGAACUUAUGGCAUUGGCUUAUCAGUGGUCACAGAGAAUUGGGUUUCAGUGUGGUCACUUAUCAAUAUAUUAAUAACUCUGAGAGCAAUGUCACUUUAAUGCAGCAUAAAGAACGUUCUUGGGCUCUGGGCCUGAAGUAUUUAGAUCCCUGGGAGAUUUAGUGCACUGGAUUGUUUCUGGCAUAGACCCUGGCUUCUAUAGAUGUGGGUGGGGGGAUGGUGUCAGCCUCCAUGAAGGUCUGUAGAUGGGCAGUUAGCACUUGUGGUCUCUUAGUAUGUUGUAGGGUUUUUUUCUUUUUUUUUCUUUCUGUUUUGUUAUUUAGGUGUAGAAGGCUUAAUGCUGACUUAGUGUGAGCAGGUGCUAAGUUUCCCCCUCUCCACCUGCCCCAGAAGGAAAAGUCUGAAAGCUGGCAGUGGGCAUGGAAGAGAGCUUCCUGGGGAAGAAGGUGAAGCAAGCGGCUUAAAAUAAAUCCCCUGGUUUCAGUUCGUAUCAGUGAUUUGUCUGUCUUCUGUCUUUCCUCAUGUGUUUCCGAGUCCGAUGUCAAAGUGAUGAGCUUUUCUGCAGGAAUUCUUCCCAGUGUCCUUUGUUUUUGGUGAAUUCAAUGGUUGAGUGUCGCUGAGUGUCUCUGGUCUUGUUUCCUGGUCCUUGUAGCUAAGAAUGUCGUUGAAGGAUAAACUCUUGUUAAUUUGUGAUGUCACAAUUUAAGUGUGCUUCCUGUCACUUAUGUGUAGUUUAAAAUGUUCCUUAAUGUAGCAUGAAAUGAUUGGUUAGCUUUGAAAUGGUUGUGAAGUCAUGUGAAGAAAAUAAGUUUUGCAUCCGACCAAGAUAAAUUCACUCUAGUGCUUUAUGGCUUUUUAUUCCUAUGUGAUAGUAAUAAAGUCUCAUGUAGGGAUGGAAGCCAUGAAAUACAUUGUGAAAAAUCAUCAACUAAGAAGGGGCCAUCAGUAUAGAAAAUGGUAGCCUGUGCAGCUGUGAACAUGAUGGAGAAAUGACUUAGUGCAUAGCUCUGCUACAUGUUUGGUGUCUCUUUGAGUUUCUUUAUCCUUAGGUUUUUGACAGCUAAGGAAUCUAGGUUACAAGAGUUGAUUCAUCUUCGUAAUCAUCGAUUUACAUGCACAUUCGGGUUUGCACAUUUCUGUUUAUCAUACAUUUUUCUCCGUGUCCUAUUAUCCAAUGCGCUCUAGGAGAACUGUUAAUAGCCCACCAGUCUGGUAGGCAGCGAUCAGUCCUCCCAUGGCUUCUUUCUCCUGUGGCAGUCUUUAUUCUGACACAAAGAAGGAAUCGUUAAGUCAGACUUGACCUCUUGGAAAUGUGGUCCAGAUUGCUCUACUCCCAAGCUCCAAAAAGGUGUACAUUGCAUGGGCUAGAUCAACGCCUCCUCAGAUCCGUAAAUCCACCAGGCCAGUUCCACGUACAGGUGUAGCUCCAGUAGGGAAACACCCACUGUCGGAGAAGGAGGAGAGCUUCAGGGUGGAGUCAGGUUCUCCUCUCUGCCACUUGGAGCCCUGGGGCAAGUCUUUUCACUCUAUAUCUUUAAGAUUGGGAGAAGUAACAUGGCUGGCAAGGUUGUUGUAAGGAUUAAAUGAAGAAAUGUAUACAGGACCUAGCAAAUUAUUGAGCAUGUCGGAACAAAAAAAAAAAGCCCGUGAGAUUUGUUUUUCUAUUUUCUUCCCUUUCUUCCCACUCUCCUCCCCCUCCCCUUUCCCUGCCCUCCCCUCCCCACCCCCCCCCUUUAGACAUUGGUCCAAAAACAGAACCUUUGAGAGAGCAAAGAGUUCUUCUAGAAUGUCUAGUUGCACCUCCUUUCCAUAUGUGGCUUAAAUGCCUUGGUUGGGUUCAUAGUUUCAUUUUUUUCUAAAUGAACUAUUUUAAUGUUGAUGAUUGACCUAUUUCACUUUUCUUUUUUUCUGUACAUACAUUUUUCCUUGACCUGUUUUAAUAUUGACUAUUGACCUAUACUCUUUUUUACUGGUUUUCUGUAUUUUUUUUCAAUGAGAAUUCUAAUAAAGAUUAUUUGUGUUAU